This 392-nucleotide ribosomal RNA is filed under the name uncultured bacterium. Its description in RNAcentral is "partial 16S ribosomal RNA". It matches the Rfam family "Bacterial small subunit ribosomal RNA", at positions 523 to 918 of the family's 1533-position model. The record is from RNAcentral.
AUACGGAGGAUCCGAGCGUUAUCCGGAUUUAUUGGGUUUAAAGGGCGCGCAGGCGGCCGUCCAAGUCCGGUGUUAAAUGGUCGGGCUCAACCCGAUCAUGCGCUGGAAACUGGGCGGCUUGAGUCCCGUAGGGGAUGCCGGAAUUCCAGGUGUAGGGGUGAAAUCUGUAGAUAUCUGGAAGAACACCGAUGGCGAAGGCAGGCAUCUGGCCGGAGACUGACGCUGAGGCGCGAAGGCGCGGGGAGCGAACAGGUUUAGAUACCCUGGUAGUCCGCGCAGUAAACGAUGCGCACCAGGUGUCGGGCGGCAGCGCCCGGUACCGGAGCAAACGCGAUGAGUGCGCCGCCUGGGGAGUAUGCCCGCAAGGGUGAAACUCAAAGGAAUUGACGGGG